Molecule: ribosomal RNA, 3570 nt
Filed under: Durio zibethinus
Lineage: Eukaryota; Viridiplantae; Streptophyta; Magnoliopsida; Malvales; Malvaceae
Description: eukaryotic LSU rRNA
Rfam family: Eukaryotic large subunit ribosomal RNA (bases 387-3570)
Source: RNAcentral
AUGAGUCUCGAUAAUGGAUAUCUCAACUCUCACAUCGAUGAACAAUGCAACGAAAUAUGAUACUUGGUGUGAAUUAUAGAAUUUUAUGAACCAUCAAUUCUUUGAAUGCAAGUUGCACCUUUAGCCAUUAUGCCAAAGGCAUGGCUUCCUAGCUACCAUGCAUCAUCACCCUUUCUAACCUCUCUCCCAUCGGGCUCCUAGUAAUAGGGCAAAAGAUGGCCUCUAGUGACCUCAUCUAUUGUGGUUGGCCUAAAAACAAGUCCCUGGCAAUCAAAGCCCUGUGACCAUGAAUGCUAAAGCUCCUAGUGUGAAUCAUCUCCGGUGACAUGCACUCAUCCAACUAAACCCAUUGGACCCUCCAUAUCACUCAGUCGAUGCUCACAUUGUGACCUUAGGUCAGGUAGGAUUACCUGUUGAGUUUAAGCAUAUGAAUAAGCAAAGGAAAAGAAACUUACCAGGAUUCUAGUAACAAUGAGUGAAUUAGAAAAAGCCCAGCUUGAGAAUCGGGAACCCUUGGAGUCCAAAUUGUAGUAUGGUGAAGCAUACUUAGUGAUAGACUAGGCCUAAGUCCUAUAGAAAGGGGUGUUAGAGAGAGUGAGAGUCCUAUUGUGCUUGGAUCCUAUCGCACCAUGAGACUCUAUCUACAAGUCAGGUUGUUUGGGAUUGCAGCCCUAAUCAGGUGGUAAAUUUCAUCCAAGGCUGAAUAUGAGUGAGAGAGCAAUAGUGAAGAAGUAUUACGAGGGAAACAUGAAAAAGACUUUGAAAAGAGAGUCAAAAAGUGCUUGAAAUUAUCAAAAGGGAAAUGGAUGGGGGAUGAUGAUGCAUCCUAGUUAGAUGUGGAAUGGUGAGAGCCAGUCCAAUGAUUGGCUUAGGGAGUGGACUAAAAUGUGUCUAGUGGCUGCCUAACCCUAGGCUUUCGAUAUGCCCAUAGAGACAUUGUCACUAUGAUCGUGGAACGUAUCACACAUCGUCUCAACAUGCCUCAACACUCAUGCGCUCUUGGCAUUAGCCUGCGAGCUCUUUAUCUAGCUUAUCUUGAAACGUAGACCAAAGAGUGUGACAUGUGUGCAAGUUAACAUGCUAGAUAACUUAUAAGGUGCAAGGAAGCUAGUUGGUGGGAUCCUUCAUAGGUGCACCACCGACUGACCUUGAUCUUCUGAGAAAGAUUUGAGUGGUGAGCUUUACCUGUUAGGUGAACUAUGCCUGAAGUGGGGCUAAAGCCCCAAUGAUACUAAUGUGUAUAUCAUUCAUCUAACUUGGGUAUAGGGGUGAAAAACUAAUUGAACCAUCUAGUAGCUAGUUUCUUAUUAAAAGUUUCCAUUAGGAUAGAUGGAAGCCUUUUAGCGAGUUUUAUUAGGUAAAGCCAUGGUUAGAGGCAUUGUGGGCACAAUGCCCUUAACCUAUUUUCAAACUUUUAAUAGUAGGAUUGAUGCAACUACUCAUUGAGAUGCUCCCAUGGAAUCGAGACCUCUAAGAGGGCUAUUUUUGGUAAGUAGCAACUAGUGACACAUGAUGAACUAAAAGUUGGUUAUAGUGCCUAAUUGUGCGCUAACCUAGAAACCUCGAAGGUGUUGGUCGAUUAAGAUAGGUAAGAUGGUGAUCAUGGAAGUCAAAAUCCUUUAAGAAGAGGUAACAACCCACCUGUCAAAUCAACUAGCUUAAAAAAAUAAAUGGCGCUUAAGCACGUGACCUAUACUAGAUCAUCGAGGCAAGGGCCAAUCCCCGAUGAGUAGAAAGAUAUGAUAGUUGCUGCAAAACUUAGUGCACAAGCCUUUGCAAAGAGAUUGUCGGUGCAGAUCUUGGUGGUAGUAGCAAAUAUUCAAAUCAAAACUUUGAAGGCCAAAGAAGGGAAAGGUUCCAUGUGAACAACACUUGCACAUAGGUUAGUCGAUCCUUAGAGAUGGGUCCAACAUGAGCUUUGAAAGGAAAUUUAGUUAAAAUUUCUAAAUUGGGACACUAUGGCUAACAACAACAUUAGGGAUUCCAAAGAUAUCGAUGGAGGCCUCAGGAAGAGUUAUCUUUUCUAUUUAAUGACCUACCCACCCUAGAAAUAACUCAAUUAGAGGUAGGUUCCAUUCGCCAAAAAAGCAACGCAUAUCACAUUAUGUCAUGUUUGCCCUAGUAGCAUUUGAAAAUAUGGAGGAAUGAGUGCUAUUCAUGCCCAGUUGUACUCAUAAUUGCAUGGGUUUCCAAAUUGAACAAGCUCUAGUUGAUGGAAACAAUGUAGGUAAGGGAAGUCAACAAAAUGGAUCUCUAACCUUGGGAAAAGAUUGGCUCUGAGGGUUAGCAUGGGGGGUCCUAGUCUUGAACCUUUUGGCUACCAAUGUACUACUCGAGCUGCCCCACGGUGACAGCAAUCGAUACAUGUAGGCUUAGGAUGGACUAGGAAUGGCUCCCUCAGGGGCCUUCCCCAAGUGCAUGAAUAGUCAACUCAAAAUUCGUAUAGACUAGAGGAAUCCGACUGUUUAAUUAAAACAAGCAUUACGAUGGUCCCUAGGGAUGCUCACUCAAUGUGAUUUUGCCCAGUGCUCUAAAUGUCAAAGUGAAGAAUUUCAACCGAUCGUGGGAGUAAUAUGACUCUUUUGAGGUAGCCAAAUGUCCCUACAUCUAAUUAGUGACACACAUGAGUGGAUUAACAAGAUUCUUAUUGUCCUUGUCGACUAUCCAGCAAAACCACAACCAAGGGAAUCGGGCUCGGUAGAACCAACAGAAAAGAAGACCUAAUUGAGCUGACUCUAGUCUAACUUUGUGAAAUGACUUGAGAGGUGUAGGGUAAGUGGGAGCCCUCUGAUGAAAUUGAAAUACCAUUUCUUUUAAUGUUAUUUUACUUAUUUCAUGAAUCGAAGGUGGGGCACAACUCUUUUUUUAGACAUAAAGCCAGCCUGAUCAAUCUAUCCAGGUAGAAGACAUUGUUAAGUGGAGAGUUUGCUGGGGCAGCACAUCUAUUAAAAGAUAACACAAGUGUCCUAUGAUAAUCUCUACGAGAACAAGAAUUUUAUGUGGAACAAAAAGGAAAAGCUUAUUUCAUUUAUGAUUUCUAGUAUAAAUAUGAGCCAUGAAAGCACGGCCUAUCGAUCUUUUAGACCUUUAAAAUUUGAAGCUAGAGGCAUUAGAAAAGUUACCAUAAGGAUAAUUAGCUUGUGGUAAUGAAGUAUUCAUUAGCGACAUUACUUUUUGAUCCUUCGAUUUCAGCUCUUUCCCAUCAUUUGUAAAGCAAAAUUCUCUAAGUGUUGGAUUGUUUCACCCACUAAUAUAAAAUUUGAGCUAGGUUUAGACCAUUAUGAGAUAGGUUAGUUUUACCCUACUAAUAGCAAUGUUGCAAUAGUAUUUCAACCUAGAAUGAGAAGAACUAUUGAUUUGCAUAAUUGGUCAUCAUGCUUGGUUGAAAAGCUAGUGGCAAGAAGCUAUCAUGCACUGGAUUAUGAUUGAAUGCCUCUAAGUCAAAAUCUAGGCUAGAAGUGAUGCAUGUGCCCAUCAUCCAAUUGUUGACCUCUAGCAUGGAUGCAUGGCCUCCAAAGGCAUGUGUCAUAGGUGCAGCCCCUGCUACGGACAAGCUACAUAGGCUUCAUU